Oncorhynchus keta (chum salmon) is the source of this 548-nucleotide long non-coding RNA. RefSeq lists it as uncharacterized. The record is from RefSeq and is a predicted model, not a curated record. NCBI's taxonomy places the organism in Eukaryota, Metazoa, Chordata, Actinopteri, Salmoniformes, Salmonidae. The transcript has 4 exons.
CUGUUUACUCCAGGUUAUGAGGGUGUCUAUCUCUGUCUGACCAAUAGGAACUAGAUCCCUAGCAUACUGUUUACUCCAGGUUAUGAGGGUGUCUAUCUCUGUCUGACCAAUAGGAACUAGAUCCCUAGCAUACUGUUUACUCCAGGUUAUGAGGGUGUCUAUCUCUGUCUGACCAAUAGGAACUAGAUCCCUAGCAUACUGUUUACUCCAGGUUAUGAGGGUGUCUAUCUCUGUCUGACCAAUAGGAACUAGAUCCCUAGCAUACUGUUUACUCCAGGUUAUGAGGGUGUCUAUCUCUGUCUGACCAAUAGGAACUAGAUCCCUAGCAUACUGUUUACUCCAGGUUAUGAGGGUGUCUAUCUCUGUCUGACCAAUAGGAACUAGAUCCCUAGUCACUUUGGAGACAUGACUUUCCCUCUCUUUCCUCACACCACUGCCGACUGCUUAGAUUUUGCCAAUCAGUCUGUUGCUAUGGUAACGUCCCACGUGCCUCCUCCCUCUCCUUCCUACCCUCCUCGUUUUUCCACCCCCCUCAGGCAGUACCUCAU